GACGAACGCUGGCGGCGUGCUUAACACAUGCAAGUCGAACGAAGUGGCGAACGGGUGAGUAACGCGUAAUCAACCUGCCCUUCAGAGGGGGACAACAGUUGGAAACGAUUGCUAAUACCGCAUACUGAAGGCGGGGAUUGCGUCUGAUUAGCUAGUUGGAGGGGUAACGGCCCACCAAGGCGAUGAUCAGUAGCCGGUCUGAGAGGGUGGACGGCCCCAUUGGGACUUGAACACGGCCCCGACUUCUACGGGAGGCAGCCGGUGGGAAUCUUCCGCAAUGGACGAAAGUCUGACGGCGCAACGCCGCGUGGUGGAGGACGGCCUUCGGGUUGUAAAGCUCUGUUAAUCGGGACGCGUUACCGGAAUAGAAAGCCACGGCUAACUACGUGCCAGCAGCCGCGGUAAUAC
Molecule: ribosomal RNA, 408 nt
Filed under: uncultured bacterium
Lineage: Bacteria
Description: partial 16S ribosomal RNA
Rfam family: Bacterial small subunit ribosomal RNA
Source: RNAcentral